AUACGUAGGGGGCGAGCGUUGUCCGGAAUGAUUGGGCGUAAAGGGCGCGUAGGCGGCAUGUUAAGUCUGGAGUGAAAGUCCUAUUUUUAAGGUAGGAAUUGCUUUGGAAACUGAUGUGCUUGAGUGCAGGAGAGGUCAUCGGAAUUCCCAGUGUAGCGGUGAAAUGCGUAGAGAUUGGGAGGAACACCAGUGGCGAAGGCGGGUGGCUGGACUGUAACUGACGCUGAGGCGCGAAAGUGUGGGGAGCAAACAGGAUUAGAUACCCUGGUAGUCCACACCGUAAACGAUGAAUGCUAGGUAUAGUUGGUAUCGACCCCAACUGUGCCGUCGCAAACGCAAUAAGCAUUCCGCCUGGGGAGUACGGUCGCAAGAUUAAA
Molecule: ribosomal RNA, 377 nt
Filed under: uncultured bacterium
Lineage: Bacteria
Description: bacterial SSU rRNA
Rfam family: Bacterial small subunit ribosomal RNA
Source: RNAcentral